AUUGAACGCUGGCGGCAGGCCUAACACAUGCAAGUCGGACGGUAGCACAGGGGAGCUUGCUCCUCGGGUGACGAGUGGCGGACGGGUGAGUAAUGUCUGGGAAACUGCCCGAUGGAGGGGGAUAACUACUGGAAACGGUAGCUAAUACCGCAUAACGUCGCAAGACCAAAGUGGGGGACCUUCGGGCCUCACACCAUCGGAUGUGCCCAGCUGGGAUUAGCUAGUAGGUGGGGUAAUGGCUCACCUAGGCGACGAUCCCUAGCUGGUCUGAGAGGAUGACCAGCCACACUGGAACUGAGACACGGUCCAGACUCCUACGGGAGGCAGCAGUGGGGAAUAUUGCACAAUGGGCGCAAGCCUGAUGCAGCCAUGCCGCGUGUAUGAAGAAGGCCUUCGGGUUGUAAAGUACUUUCAGCGGGGAGGAAGGCGGUGAAGUUAAUAACUUCACCGAUUGACGUUACCCGCAGAAGAAGCACCGGCUAACUCCGUGCCAGCAGCCGCCGCAG
Molecule: ribosomal RNA, 506 nt
Filed under: uncultured bacterium
Lineage: Bacteria
Description: partial 16S ribosomal RNA
Rfam family: Bacterial small subunit ribosomal RNA
Source: RNAcentral